This 174-nucleotide unclassified non-coding RNA is filed under the name Bacillus sp. B-jedd. RNAcentral's name for it is "T-box". Lineage: Bacteria; Bacillati; Bacillota; Bacilli; Caryophanales; Bacillaceae. The record is from RNAcentral.
UUGCCUGCAGUUUUAGUAGGAGUGUCAUGGGCAGCAAGAAGAGACCGGACGGCUGGUGAAAGUCCGGGCAAUGAAACUCCGAAAUACACCUGCUUUAAGAGGGCAAUUUUUGCAAAGAGGGCAGGAACGAUCCUGUCAACUAGGGUGGUACCGCGGAGCUUUUUCGUCCCUAAU